GACGAACGCUGGCGGCGUGCUUAACACAUGCAAGUCGAACGAAGUGGCGGACGGGUGAGUAACGCGUAAUCAACCUGCCCUUCAGAGGGGGACAACAGUUGGAACCGACUGCUAAUACCCCAUAUGGAAGGAGGGGAUUGCGUCUGAUUAGCUAGUUGAAGGGGUAACGGCCCACCAAGGGGAUGAUCAGUCGCCCGUCUGAGGGGAUGAGGGGCCACAUGGGGAUUGAGACACGGCCCAGACACAUUGGGGAGGGAGCAGUAGGGAAUAUUGCGCAAGGGGCGAAACCCUGACGCAGCAACGCGGCGUGGAGUAUGACACUUGUCGGAGCGUAAACUCCUUUUGUUAGGGAUGCGUUACCUAACGAAUAAGCACCGGCUAACUCCGUGCCAGCAGCCGCGGUAAUUC
RNAcentral lists this ribosomal RNA (408 nucleotides) under uncultured bacterium. RNAcentral's name for it is "partial 16S ribosomal RNA". It matches the Rfam family "Bacterial small subunit ribosomal RNA", at positions 28 to 526 of the family's 1533-position model. The record is from RNAcentral.